Molecule: long non-coding RNA, 236 nt
Organism: Notothenia coriiceps (black rockcod)
Lineage: Eukaryota; Metazoa; Chordata; Actinopteri; Perciformes; Nototheniidae
Exons: 3
Source: RefSeq, a predicted model, not a curated record
UUCCCUGACAGUGUCCUAGUGAGAACAAGAGCCCGAAGCCCAGGAGAAAUCCCUCGUUUCAUCCCUCCCCACACAUGGACCAAGGACUUCACAUGGGAGACUUCAACUGCAUUUCAGUCCUGGGGAGAGGUCACUUUGGUAAGGUGCUGCUGGCAGAGUAUAAGAAGUCCAGCAAGCUGUGCGCCAUCAAAGCCCUGAAGAAAGGAGACAUCGUGACACGUGACGAAGUGGACAGG